Molecule: long non-coding RNA, 246 nt
Filed under: Lathyrus oleraceus (garden pea)
Lineage: Eukaryota; Viridiplantae; Streptophyta; Magnoliopsida; Fabales; Fabaceae
Description: Pisum sativum (pea) long non-coding RNA (PSAT_LNC027243)
Source: RNAcentral
GAUUUCUAUUCCCAUUCAUCGUCUUGUGAUGUUUGGAUGUGACAGUACCUUUGAGAGAAAAAUCAAAAUCCCCAGUAAUAAAUAUCAGAUCCCAGUGGACGUUUCCGUUGGUGGAUUCCCGCAGUGUGCAAAUUUCUACGGUUCUUGGUAUUCAAUCCCUGUUUACCCUGAAAGUCUGACAACCAUUGCUCUCAUCCGUUCGGGUUCCCAGUUGAUUGAAUAGGGGCAGCUGUAGCACCUCAAAUU